CACCAGAUCAAUAAUCUGAGGCAGAACAUUCAGAACUAAUCUGAUCAAAUCUGUUUUACUCAAAUCUGAUUUUAAAGGAUUUAAGAGGUUAAUGAAUGUUUAAAUUAAUGGAUGUAAAAUUUUAUGGUAUUUUAAUUGAUUGUGAGGUUUUAUAGGUAAAACCCAUUCAAGUGGACCAAAUGACCUGAAACAGAAGAACAGAAUAUUUGUCCAAACGUAAACUGAACUAAAAAUAAACUUUAUUUGCACUUUUUAUCCAGGAAACGCUGUUCAAAGACGUGACUUCAUAUAAUGAGCAUCAAAAACAGAUGGCUGCCUUCGUUAAGUUAAAACAAGGUGGAGAAUGAACCCGUAAAGUAUAACACAGCAUUUUAAAGGAAGGAGUCAGCUGCGAUCCUCUCCGUCACCUGCAGAGGAGCAGCGGGGUGUCGAGGUGGGACGAGGUGUUCCCGACAUUUACACUCAAACUAUCUCAUAACUUUGCCUCAGCUGUCUACAGGAACCUCUCUGAUCCAGAACCCUCUCAGUCUUUAGGGUUAGCUUCAAACACAGAGCGCUUUUCACACCUCUGAUGCUGAAACACUAUCCAUGUUUAAACACUGAGUCCAGAAUGUGACCACGCUGAUGAGGGGUUUCAUGUUGGGGAAGUCCAGCUGAUCCUUUUUCUUACUGAUAUGAAUUAGAUCUUGUGAUUUGAUUUGACAGCCUUUAUUGUCCAUGUGCAGUUAAAACACACCAUGAAAUAAACAAAUAAACAGAAGACAUGAACACAUUUAACAAACAAUAGAUGUUAUCAACAUAGAGUGAAGUUACCAUGAGCCACAGAGCUGUGUGUCCGUCAGUCCUGCAUCGGAGGACACGUGCAACAGAAACCAGGCCUACAGCUCGGAGACUCCUGCUGGAACAGAGAGGAACAAGACGUACAGGACACAGGCUGGUUCUGCUCGACAUUUCUACCUGCUAAAAGAGUUUUUCCUCGCCUUUGUGACCAAAUGCUGCUCAUGACGGGAUCUGUUGGGUCUGACUGUGUGGAGGACUCUACUCUAUAAAACGUGGAUCAGUUUCUGUAGAGCGAUAGUGAAGAAAAAGGUCAGAGAUGAUGCUGUUGUGAUGGACACUGAGGUUUUCUGGAUCUGGUCUUCCUCCUGAUCCUCAUCAGUCUGACUUUUUGUCGGUGCGUUUCUUGCGGCUCUGCAUUGAUGGUGCCAACAGUGGAAUGGCCUCACCAUCAUCAUCAAUCAGUGUGGGUCGGGCAAAACAGCAGAGGUAGACGAAGGUGGAGAUGAAGAUGAGCGGGAUGCUGACCAGGAGGCAGGCGAACAGCGGAGCCUCGCUGAACAGUGGCUGGACGGACAGACAGAGGACGGAGAGGUCAGAGGUCACUGAGACAAACACUCAGGUGUAAACCAGAAACAGGACUGAAAACUUACCGUCAGCGUGACUUUGGCGUCGUAAAUUAAACGUCUGAUGCGCUGGGCGAUGUCGUUUCCUCCCUGUCUCUGAGAAGUGAAACAAAGAUUGAUCAGAAAUAAUUAAACAGAGCUGGUGAAGCUCUCCUUUGUCCUCCGGGUGACUCUGGAGUCCGGACUCACCUGGAUACUGCCAUCCAAAACCCCUUUCAGGAAGUCCAGUAGGUGAUGUUCUGACUGCACAGCGCUAGGUGGCAGGAAGUAGCCAUCAUUGGACAGGUUAACCACAAUGAAGGACGGCACAGUCACCUCCCUGACAAGAACAAACCAAACAGAAACACAUUAACAACUACACCCAUUUGUGACUAGAGACAUUACCGACUAGACCAUUUGUGACUUGUCUCUGUACUGGUUUUAUUAGAUCUUAGUGCUGCAUUUGAUACCAUUGACCAUCAGAUCCUAUUGCAGAGACUGGAAU
Micropterus dolomieu (smallmouth bass) is the source of this 1887-nucleotide long non-coding RNA. RefSeq lists it as uncharacterized. The record is from RefSeq and is a predicted model, not a curated record. The transcript has 3 exons. NCBI's taxonomy places the organism in Eukaryota, Metazoa, Chordata, Actinopteri, Centrarchiformes, Centrarchidae.